UGUGUGAAAAGCUCUUGAUAAGAAAACAUUUUAUUACACUUCAAAUAGUCUCAUAAAAAUUUCCGGUACAAAUUUUGGCUCAAAAUUUGUUUUCACAACAUCCACUCCAGUGACAACAAGACAAGGAAACUCACCUAACGUAACAAGUCGAUUGUGGUCAAAAAGAAAGGAAAAAAUUAAGGAGGGAAAAUUAAUUUAUUGUUGUCCACCUUUCCACCAGUAAUAGCAACAUGCCAGGAAAUAAGCCCCCUGAUUGGAAUUUUAAGCCGCUUGGGUGUCAACUCCAAGAGCCAUCGAAAGAAAGUACUUUGCAUGGUAAUGGAAGGUAAUUUAAAAAAAGCAUAAGUAAAGCUCUUAAAAGUAAAGACCGACGAAAAUUAAACAUUUACAUUCAUACAAAUCGGGUUGAUAAAAUAUAUUUUGGCCAUAUUAAAAUUAUGGUAUUUAGGGUCAAACUAUCGUCUACUAAAUAAAGGGAAGUAAAGAUUUAUAAUCUUCUAGCAGUUUAUUAGUCGAUGACAUGCUGUGAUGCAAUUUAUGAAUUUCGAAAGUAUGAACAAUUUUUUUUAUUUGGUUUUUUUAUAAUAAACAUUAUAAUUGCAAA
Molecule: long non-coding RNA, 604 nt
Organism: Ceratitis capitata (Mediterranean fruit fly)
Lineage: Eukaryota; Metazoa; Arthropoda; Insecta; Diptera; Tephritidae
Exons: 3
Source: RefSeq, a predicted model, not a curated record